RNAcentral lists this ribosomal RNA (1088 nucleotides) under uncultured Nanohalarchaeota archaeon. Its description in RNAcentral is "bacterial SSU rRNA". It matches the Rfam family "Archaeal small subunit ribosomal RNA", at positions 1 to 1087 of the family's 1478-position model. Lineage: Archaea; Nanobdellati; Candidatus Nanohalarchaeota. The record is from RNAcentral.
UUCCGGUUGAUCCUGCCGGAGGAUACUGCUAUCGGAGUCCGAUUUAGCCAUGCUAGUCCACCGAUUCGUUCGGGGCAUAUAGCUGAGUAACACGUGGCUAACCUACCCUGUGGACAGGAAUAACCUCGCUAACGUGAGGCUAAUACCUGAUAGCAGAGAAGUACUGGAAACGUCUUCUCUGUGAAAUGUUCCGACGCCAUAGGAUGGGGCCGCGGCUGAUUAGGUCGUUGGUGAGGUAAUGGCUCACCAAGCCAAUAAUCAGUAGUAGCCGUGAGAGCGGUAGCUACCAGUCGGCUUCUGAGACAAGAAGCCGGACCCUACGGGGUGCAGCAGGCACGAAACCUUCACAAUGCACUAACGUGCGAUGGGGGGACUCCGAGUGCGUCUUUCCCAACAAGGAAGGACGCUUUUCUGCACUGUAAGGAGGUGCAGGAACAAGGGGUGGGCAAGACGGCUGCCAGCCGCCGCGGUAAUAGCCGCACCCCAAGUGGUAUCCAGUAUUAUUGGGCUUAAAGUGUUCGUAGCCGGCUGUGUAAGUCUGCUGUGAAAUCCACGCGCUCAACGUGUGGACAUGCAGCAGAUACUGCAUAGCUAGGGGCCGGACGGCGUUGAGGCUAUUCCAGGGGUAGGAGUGAAAUCCUAAAAUCCCUGGAGGAGCGCCAGUGGCGAAAGCGCUCAACGAGAACGGACCCGACGGUGAGGAACGAAAGCUAGAGGAGCAAAGCGGAUUAGAUACCCGCGUAGUCCUAGCUGUAAACAUUGCCUGUUAGAUGUCGGACAACCUUCGAGGUUGUCCGGUGCCGAAGUGAAAACGCUAAACAGGCCGCCUGGGUAGUACGGUCGCAAGGCUGAAACUUAAAGGAAUUGACGGGGGAGCACCACAACCGGUGGAGGCUGCGGUUUAAUUAGAUCCAACGCAGAGCACUCUACCAGAGCCGACAGCAGAAUGACGGUCAGCUUGAAGAGCUUACCUGACGCGCUGAGAGGAGCUGCAUGGCCGCCGUCAGCUCGUGCCGUGAGGUGUCCGGUUAAGUCUGGUAACGAGCGAGACCCGCAUCACAUGUUGCCAUGGAACCACUCUGUGGUUU